RNAcentral lists this long non-coding RNA (667 nucleotides) under Lathyrus oleraceus (garden pea). Its description in RNAcentral is "Pisum sativum (pea) long non-coding RNA (PSAT_LNC023681)". Lineage: Eukaryota; Viridiplantae; Streptophyta; Magnoliopsida; Fabales; Fabaceae. The record is from RNAcentral.
UUUAGUGUUAGAUUUAUCUAUAGUUUUUGGAAGUUAUAUCUGAAACUUUAUUCUUCUACAUGCAGGUCCCUCUAAAAGCUCAUUUUGACUUAAAAAUAAAAUAAAAUCUGCAUUAUAAACUUUAUUCUUUGUAUGUGUUUUCUUUUACAUCAUGAAGGUUUAUGGGCCAGACAUUGUUUUGGUCUUAUUAAGGAGCCGUCUUCAACACAUUCAUUAGCUUUGGUUUUUGAUAACGAACUUGACUGGGGAAUCCAUCGCGCAGAGUUGUGUCCAUAGGAAUAUGGUGGUACAUAUACUUUCAUUAGCUAGAUCUCAUAUGCUCCACUAAAUUCAAAUUCUCCAUCUUAUCCUUUACGAUUUCUCAUUUAUAACAUAAGAUAUAUGUUUAAGUUUUAAAUUUAGAUACAUAAGUUUAAUAGCUAUGUGAUGUUGUCGUUGUCAAAUUGUAAAAAUUAGUUUAAGAUGUGGAUUCUCAAUAGAAGUCUUCAAGCAAUUACUUUAAAGGAAGAAUUUUGUCUUUUAGUUUUGGAUUUCUAUUUAACUACCCCUAAAUUAUUUUAUUUCUUAAUCCCUUUAUAUUAAACAAAAGCCUCAUUAUGUUACAUUAACACCUAACCUCUAGAUGGUGUGACAUAACAUAUCAUAACUAUCCCUAAAUAAGAUUGUC